This 472-nucleotide ribosomal RNA is filed under the name uncultured bacterium. RNAcentral's name for it is "bacterial SSU rRNA". It matches the Rfam family "Bacterial small subunit ribosomal RNA", at positions 8 to 526 of the family's 1533-position model. The record is from RNAcentral.
AGGGUUUGAUCAUGGCUCAGAACGUACGCUGGCGGCACGCCUAACACAUGCAAGUCGAACGCAGUAGCAAUACUGAGUGGCAAACGGGUGAGUAUAAUGUGGGAAUCUGCCUUUUGGUUUGGAAUAACACGAGGAAACUUGUGCUAAUACCGGAUAAGCCUUUACAGGGAAAGUUUUAACGCCGAAAGAUGAGCCCGCACUUGAUUAGCUAGUUGGUAAGGUAAUAGCUUACCAAGGCAACGAUCAAUAGCUGUUCUUAGAGGAAGACCAGCCACAUUGGGACUGAGACACGGCCCAAACUCCUACGGGAGGCAGCAGUGGGGAAUCUUGCACAAUGGGGGAAACCCUGAUGCAGCGAUGCCGCGUGAGUGAAGAAGGCCUUUGGGUUGUAAAACUCUUUCGUCGGGGAAGAAAAUGACUGUACCCGAAUAAGAAGGUCCGGCUAACUUCGUGCCAGCCGCCGCGGUAAUAC